CCCACUGGGCUGACCGGUUUGCGACACUCCAAAUAAGACAACAAAGUUUGUAUAAAGUUGGAUUAAAAUUGGAUUUAGGAAUCUUCUUGAAGGCGAUAAUUUGCAACAAAAUUUUAAGAUCCAAGAAUUGGGGGUUUGUCUCUUUGCCGAGUCAGGCAGUUUCAAUUUGUCAUCUUCAAGCGCGCCUGGAGCUCAAACUUUAUGACCCUUUGCUUGGUGGGCUAUAUUUCUUGGCAAGUGUUGCAGAUAUAGAACUUCCCUGCUAAAAGAUAUCUGCUUAGACCUUUGUUUGAGACUAUAGUAAACAUGGUUCACACGUUAGAAACUAUUAAGGGUGGUGGAGGAUCCAUCAAGGUUGGUACCAUGGGAUCUAUUAGUUCCCUGAUGGCGAGGGAACUGGAUUCCAUUAAAUCUGCACCUCAGAUGCCCUUAUCUUCCCGGACCAAACGUCAGUUAGUACCUGUUUCAGUUCCCUAUGGUGCUACAACUCCUAAAAGACUACAGCCAAAAAAAUCAUCUGACGAGCCAAGCAGCAACUACAUUGAUCAUAGAAGCAUUGAUAUUACCAGGAAAACAAACGGCUACACUAGAAAUACCCAUCGAAUACCAAUGCUCAUCUCUGAUAGUAUUACUCUUGAUAGAACUCCUAGUAGGGGAAAAACUGACAAGAAAGCAUCUAAGAUAGUUGAAAUUGUGGAUAUAAAAUGUGGGAACCGGGAUAGAGCAUGGGCUAGCCCCAUAACAAAUCGUCUCAAGAAGCUGGGAUUCUCAAAGCUAUCUGAGAGUGUUAUCUAAGCUAGCAACUUCUUCAGAUCUCAUUUAAGGUUCUUGUAACUGAAACCAGAACUUCCAACUGGUUGAUUGUUGUCCGAAAUUUCCACUGUAGAACAUAUACUUGGUAUGAGCAUGCUGCGUUCCUUUUUCUUCUUUUGCGUUGCUAUGUCAGAUCCAAAAGUGGGUCUGGAAUGACUACUAGAAGAGGCCAUGGUCUGGAUCUCCGAUGGUGCCUCGAGCACCUAUUUCUACAGGAUUCUGUGCCUUCAUUUCUUCAGGGACCUUCAUGGCCUUGGUGCUGGAUUGACACACGUUUUGUUUGGUUUGUGUGAAGGAGGCUUGUGGAUGAAGAGAGGUGGGUUUGGGUCUCAUCUUGGUGGGGAAGUUUUGAGUCUAAGUCAUUUGGUUUUGCAUUUUUACCUGGUGAUUCACAUGAACUCUUUAACUUAUGUUCUUCAUCUUAAAUAAAAGAUCAGCAGAUUUUCCCUGA
Long non-coding RNA from Carya illinoinensis, 1264 nucleotides. RefSeq lists it as uncharacterized. The transcript has 2 exons. Lineage: Eukaryota; Viridiplantae; Streptophyta; Magnoliopsida; Fagales; Juglandaceae. The record is from RefSeq and is a predicted model, not a curated record.